AGGGAAAAUAGUUUAAUAAAAAUAUUUUACUUGCAGUAAAAAGUUAUUUCUAUAAUUUUUCUUU
RNAcentral lists this transfer RNA (64 nucleotides) under Liposcelis decolor. RNAcentral describes it as "tRNA-Ala". The record is from RNAcentral. Lineage: Eukaryota; Metazoa; Arthropoda; Insecta; Psocodea; Liposcelididae.